UACACGCAAAGAUGCAAUGGCAAGAGAGACAGAAAUUAAAACAAGGUCAAUCAAAAGACAUUUGAUUGAUAGAAUACAAGACAGUAUAAAACUUUGUGAAUAAAAUUGAGUGCGGGAUAGUGGCGGACGGGUGAGUAACGCGUGAAUAAUCUGCCCCAUACAGGGGGAUAGCCUCGGGAAACCGGGAUUAAAACCGCAUAACACUUUAUCACCGCAUGGUGAUGAAGUCAAAUCGAUUAAGAGGUAUGGGAUGAGUUCGCGUCUGAUUAGCUAGUUGGCGGGGUAAAGGCCCACCAAGGCGACGAUCAGUAGCCGGCCUGAGAGGGUGACCGGCCACACUGGAACUGAGACACGGUCCAGACUCCUACGGGAGGCAGCAGUGGGGAAUAUUGCACAAUGGGGGAAACCCUGAUGCAGCGACGCCGCGUGAGUGAAGAAGGUCUUCGGAUCGUAAAACUCUGUCCUUGGUGACGAAGGAAGUGACGGUAACCAAGGAGGAAGCCCCGGCUAACUACGUG
Molecule: ribosomal RNA, 518 nt
Filed under: uncultured bacterium
Lineage: Bacteria
Description: bacterial SSU rRNA
Rfam family: Bacterial small subunit ribosomal RNA
Source: RNAcentral